Transfer RNA from Camelus ferus (Wild Bactrian camel), 72 nucleotides. It matches the Rfam family "tRNA". Rfam says of the family: Transfer RNA (tRNA) molecules are approximately 80 nucleotides in length. Lineage: Eukaryota; Metazoa; Chordata; Mammalia; Artiodactyla; Camelidae. The record is from Rfam.
GAGGGUAUAGCUCAAUGGUAGAGAACACGCUUAGCAUGCACAAGGUCCUGGGUUCCAUCCCCAGUGCCUCCA